GGUAAACGCUGGCGGCGUGCCUAAAACAUGCAAGUCGAACGGGCAGUCUUCGGAUUGUCAGUGGCAGACGGCUGAGUAACGCGUGGGUGACGUACCUAUCGGUGGGGAAUAACUGCCCGAAAGGGUGGCUAAUACCGCAUACGUCCACUGCUUCGUGGCAGUGGGGAAAACCGCAAGGUGCCGAUGGAGCGGCCCGCGUUCGAUUAGCUGGUUGGUGGGGUAACGGCCUACCAAGGCGACGAUCGAUAGCUGGUCUCAGAGGAUGAUCAG
Molecule: ribosomal RNA, 270 nt
Filed under: uncultured bacterium
Lineage: Bacteria
Description: partial 16S ribosomal RNA
Rfam family: Bacterial small subunit ribosomal RNA
Source: RNAcentral